RNAcentral lists this ribosomal RNA (374 nucleotides) under uncultured bacterium. Its description in RNAcentral is "bacterial SSU rRNA". It matches the Rfam family "Bacterial small subunit ribosomal RNA", at positions 790 to 1167 of the family's 1533-position model. The record is from RNAcentral.
GUAGUCCACGCCGUAAACGAUGGAUACUAGGUGUGGGGGGACUGACCCCCUCCGUGCCGCAGCUAACGCAAUAAGUAUCCCACCUGGGGAGUACGAUCGCAAGGUUGAAACUCAAAGGAAUUGACGGGGGCCCGCACAAGCGGUGGAGUAUGUGGUUUAAUUCGACGCAACGCGAAGAACCUUACCAGGGCUUGACAUCCUGCUAACGAAGUAGAGAUACAUUAGGUGCCCUUCGGGGAAAGCAGAGACAGGUGGUGCAUGGCUGUCGUCAGCUCGUGUCGUGAGAUGUUGGGUUAAGUCCCGCAACGAGCGCAACCCUUGUUGCUAGUUGCUACGCAAGAGCACUCUAGCGAGACUGCCGUUGACAAAACGGA